AGAUUGAACGCUGGCGGCAUGCCUUACACAUGCAAGUCGAACGGCAGCACGGGAGCAAUCCUGGUGGCGAGUGGCGAACGGGUGAGUAAUACAUCGGAACGUGCCCAAUCGUGGGGGGAUAACGCAGCGAAAGCUGUGCUAAUACCGCAUAAGAUCCACGGAUGAAAGCAGGGGAUCGCAAGACCUUGCGCGAAUGGAGCGGCCGAUGGCAGAUUAGGUAGUUGGUGAGGUAAAGGCUCACCAAGCCUUCGAUCUGUAGCUGGUCUGAGAGGACGACCAGCCACACUGGGGACUGAGACACGGCCCAGACUCCUACGGGAGCAGCAGUGGGAAUUUUGGACAAUGGGCGAAAGCUGAUCCAGCCAUGCCGCGUGCAGGAUGAAGGCCGUUCGGUUAGUAACUGUCUUUUGUAACGGAACGAAAGGUCUACUUUCUAAAGUAAGAGGAUAC
Molecule: ribosomal RNA, 450 nt
Filed under: uncultured soil bacterium
Lineage: Bacteria
Description: bacterial SSU rRNA
Rfam family: Bacterial small subunit ribosomal RNA
Source: RNAcentral